Molecule: ribosomal RNA, 245 nt
Filed under: uncultured Conexibacter sp.
Lineage: Bacteria; Bacillati; Actinomycetota; Thermoleophilia; Solirubrobacterales; Conexibacteraceae
Description: partial 16S ribosomal RNA
Rfam family: Bacterial small subunit ribosomal RNA
Source: RNAcentral
UACGUAGGGGGCAAGCGUUGUCCGGAAUCAUUGGGCGUAAAGAGCGUGUAGGCGGUUUGGUAAGUCCGCUGUGAAAGUCCAGGGCCACCACCGUGAAUGCCAGUGGAAACUCCCAAGCUAGAGUCCGGAAGAGGCGAGUGGAACUCCUGGUGUAGCGGUGAAAUGCGCAGAUAUCAGGAAGAACACCAAUGGCGAAGGCAGCUCGCUGGGACGGUACUGACGCUGAGACGCGAAAGCGUGGGGAG